CCUACGGGUGGCAGCAGUUCUUACUAUUUUUCCCUUUUCUCUCUCCUGCCCCCGCCCCGUCGCGUGAGGGAUGACGGCCCUACGGGUUUUAAACCUCUUUUUCCGGGGAGCAACUGGCUCCACGUAUGUCUUCACUUAUAGUACCUGGAGAAAAAGCAUCGGCUAACUCCGUGCCAGCAGCCGCGGUAAUACGGAGUAUGCUAGCGUUAUCCGUAUUUAUUGGGUUAAAGGGGUGCGUAGGCGGGUCGUUAAGUCAGGGGGAAAAUUUAGGGGAUCAACCCCUUCGCGCCAGUGAAACUGGAGUUCUUGAGUGGAAGAGAGGAAUGCGGAAUGCGUGGUGUAGCGGUGAAAUGCAUAGAUAUAGCGCAGAACACCAAUUGCGAAGGCAGCAUGCCGGCUUCCGACUGACGCUGAAGCACGAAAGCGUGGGGAUCGAACAGGAUUAGAUACCCCUGUAGUC
This 460-nucleotide ribosomal RNA is filed under the name uncultured bacterium. Its description in RNAcentral is "partial 16S ribosomal RNA". It matches the Rfam family "Bacterial small subunit ribosomal RNA", at positions 338 to 795 of the family's 1533-position model. The record is from RNAcentral.